Molecule: unclassified non-coding RNA, 316 nt
Filed under: Ascomycota sp.
Lineage: Eukaryota; Fungi; Ascomycota
Description: partial contains small subunit ribosomal RNA, internal transcribed spacer 1, and 5.8S ribosomal RNA
Rfam family: Eukaryotic small subunit ribosomal RNA (bases 1-47)
Source: RNAcentral
AAAGUCGUAACAAGGUAUCCGUAGGUGAACCUGCGGAUGGAUCAUUAUCACGUUAUCCACGUAUCAACCAUUGUGAACUGUACCCUUACCUUUUUUUGAACAGAUUUUUGGAAAGAUAAUUAAGGAGGAUUAAGUUCUUUCUUGAUUGUUUUUUUUUGGAAUUCUGAACAAAAAAUUGUAUUAUUAAUUUAAUUAUUAACCUUUUAAACCAUUUAUUUCAAUUAACAAUUGAACUGAAUCAUUUCUUACUCUUAGGAGAAGAAAUAAAUCUUACGAAACAUAAGAACAACUCUUAGCAACGGAUAUCUUGGUUCUC